Molecule: ribosomal RNA, 1651 nt
Filed under: Marginopora vertebralis
Lineage: Eukaryota; Foraminifera; Miliolida; Soritidae
Description: SSU rRNA
Rfam family: Eukaryotic small subunit ribosomal RNA
Source: RNAcentral
UACUAAUGCAACUGCGAAUAGCUGUUUAAUACAGUCGUAAUUGUAUUGACUUAGUAUAAUGUUAAUAAUAGUUAUUUAUAGGAUAACUAAGGGAAAGUUUGGCUAAUACGUUUUAACAGUAUUAUAAUUCUUAAUACACAUAUAAUAAUAUUAUAAUAUGAUAAAUUUUAUAUAAAUAUUUUAAUACAUUUAUUUGUAUUAAUAUAUAGAGUUGACUUUAUAAUAUUUAUUUAUUAUAAAGCAUGUCAAACAAGCAUCUAUAGCAUCAAGUCACAAUGUUGGCAUGUGUAUUAUUGAACCUUCAAAGCAUUUACGCAUUCGGAGGAGUAGUUUCUGAUCCCGUCGAAGGUGCCUGAGAGACGGCACUUAGUUCUAAGGAACGCAGCAGGCGCGUAAAUUGCCCAAUGACAAAACAUGUUAUAAUAAAAUAUAUAAUGUAUAUAUAUUGAAUACUCAAUAUUUAAUUGAGGCAGUGACAAGCUGUAAAGAUUGAAUAUAUUAAUUAAGAUAACAUUUGGAAUUGUCGUUUUAUAAUAUUUUUUAAUAUUAUAUUACUUGAUAAUAUACCAAUGUUAUAAAAUAUUCAAUUUGAAUGCGGUGAAUGUAAUAAUUUCAAGUAACAUGUAUAAAAUAUUUAUAUUUUAUUAGUUAUCUGAAUUUUCAAGUGGAGGGCAAGUCUGGUGCCAGCAGCCGCGGUAAUACCAGCUCCACUAGCUUAUACAAUCAUUGUUGCGGUUAAGAGGCUCGUAGUUGGAUUGAAUAAAACAUAUAUACACAAUACUGUGAACAAACCAGAGUGUAUAAAACAUGUAAUAUAUUAUAUAUUUAGCAAUGAAUGUUUUAUCAUGGAAUAUUGCUAUAAUGAAUAUUAAUAUCGAUGGAGAUAGUUGGAGUUAAGAGUACUGAUAGGCGAGCGGUGAAAUGCAUUGACCCUAUUAAGACUAACAAAAGCGAAAGCACUUAACUAGAUUAUUCUCUUUGUAUUAUUUUACAAUGAAGAGCGAAGGUUGGGGGAACAAAGAGGAUCAGAUACCCUCGUAGUCCUAUUUUUACAUCAAACUAUGGGAUUUCAUUCACACUAAACACUAAACAUUAUAAUUAUAAUUAUGAUUGAGUAUAUGUCAAAAUAUUACUCUCAUAUUAAAUAAUUAUUAUAUAUAUGAUUAUAUGUACUUUGAGCUCAUAUAAUUAUAUAGGUGAGAUGUAAGCAUUAUAAAGUGAAUAAUAUACAAGUAAUAUUGUAUUAUUAUGAUCUUUAAAAUAAAAAAUGUAAUGUGAUGCACGUUUUAGGUACGAGCUUACUAUAGAAAUAUUUAAAAUAAUACCCUCCUGGGGUAGUAUGCACGCAAGUGUGAAACUUGAAGGAAUUGACGGAAGGGCACCACAAGAACGCGUGGAGCAUGUGGCUUAAUUUGACUCAACCCGGGAAAUCUUACCAGGUCCAGACAUAUUGAGGAUUGACAGGCGAUAGUAUAUAAUUCAUUUAUAUGCAUAAAAAUGAUAGUCCUUUCAUGAUUAUAUGAUAGGUGGUGCAUGGCCGUUCUUAGUUCGUGGAGUGAUUUGUCUGCUUAAUUGCGUUUCAGUAAAUAAAAUAUAUAAUAUAUUAUAAUAUUUAGUUCUGCCUUGAAUAUUAUUCAAGGAUUUAAAGUGA